Molecule: ribosomal RNA, 313 nt
Filed under: Ascogaster sp. RK383
Lineage: Eukaryota; Metazoa; Arthropoda; Insecta; Hymenoptera; Braconidae
Description: eukaryotic LSU rRNA
Source: RNAcentral
CACUUCUUCUCUAGUAGAACGUCGUGACCCGUUAGAUGUUGAUCUAUGGCCUACAUGGUAGUCUUUGAAUAUUGCUUGCAAUUUUUGGAGACCUUUAGUGACCUGAUCAGCUGUUUGACGGUAUUCAUAUGAUAAUAAGCCGCUGUAUAGCGUUAAAUCCGUUGCAAGUGCGGUCAAUUAUUGGCAGUAUGGAUCUAAUGCCAUCGCUGAAAUUGACCAACUGUUGGUAACGGUGUUCUUUAACUGGCUUUAUUUAUCGGUCAACGACGCUACUGCUUUGGGUACUUUCAGGACCCGUCUUGAAAACACGGAC